UAAGGAAUAUUGGUCAAUGGACGAAAGUCUGAACCAGCCAUGCCGCGUGAAGGAUGACGGCCCUCUGGGUUGUAAACUUCUUUUAUAUGGGACGAAAAAAGGGAAUUCUUUCUCACUUGACGGUACCAUAGGAAUAAGCACCGGCUAACUCCGUGCCAGCAGCCGCGGUAAUACGGAGGGUGCAAGCGUUAUCCGGAUUCACUGGGUUUAAAGGGUGCGUAGGUGGGUAGGUAAGUCAGUGGUGAAAUCUCCGAGCUUAACUCGGAAACUGCCAUUGAUACUAUUUAUCUUGAAUCAUCUGGAGGUAAGCGGAAUAUGUCAUGUAGCGGUGAAAUGCUUAGAUAUGACAUAGAACACCAAUUGCGAAGGCAGCUUACUACGGAUGUAUUGACACUGAGGCACGAAAGCGUGGGGAUCAAACAGGAUUAGAUACCCCCGUAGUCCCUGAGCGGGCUGGCAAGGCGCAU
Molecule: ribosomal RNA, 467 nt
Filed under: uncultured bacterium
Lineage: Bacteria
Description: bacterial SSU rRNA
Rfam family: Bacterial small subunit ribosomal RNA
Source: RNAcentral